Quercus robur (English oak) is the source of this 4457-nucleotide long non-coding RNA. RefSeq lists it as uncharacterized. The record is from RefSeq and is a predicted model, not a curated record. The transcript is spliced from 2 exons. NCBI's taxonomy places the organism in Eukaryota, Viridiplantae, Streptophyta, Magnoliopsida, Fagales, Fagaceae.
AUAUAAAAGCCAGAAACAGAAAAGAAAAGGAGGUGGGUCUCUCUCAACUACAUAUCCUCUCUCUCUCUCGUAUGCUCCUUCCCUUAAAAAAACUCCAGAUUGCUUCUUCUCCCAUGUACGUCAAUUUCUUCACUUCAUUCCAUCGGCGUCCUCAUUUACUCACCGCUGAGGGUUUCUUAAAGGAUCAAAUUGUUUUGAUUUUGUUUAAGGUAAGUAUCAAACAAAUCCCUAAUUUCUCUGUCAUUGUUUUGUUCCCCUUGAAAGAAUUUUGGAAUUUUGCUCUUAAAUUUCAUUUCACGGUAACACGUUUGCACACUUCUGCGCUGGUGAGGUACCAAUUUUGUUCUUUAUUAUAAGUGGCACAGAAAGUAUUUGUUGAAAUGCUUCUUAGGGAUUCAGUUUUUCCAAAACUUCUUGUUGUGACUUUGUGUUCUGCUCAUUAGGGCGUGUGGGUUCUUGUUAGUGUGGUGUUGAAUUUUUUUUUUUUUUUUAUUGGUUAGUAGAGGAAAAAGGCAACAACUGUGUAAUCAAGGUGGAAGGGUUUUUAUAAAGAAAUAAUUUUUUUCUUUUAUGUCCUAAGGAAGACACGGGUAUAGAGUUGCUAUUUCUUUUCUUUUCCAUGUGAUGUACAUCUAAGUUGUAAUUCUGUAGCUGUUGCAGCAUCUUGGAAUCAAAAUUUGAGUGUUUUCUAGUUUUAAUGUUUGAGAGCUUUUGUGUUGCAUUUUGGCUAGUACAGAAUUUGGUUUUUUGUACUUUUGCUUGCUAUUUGUCUUGUUUUGAGAAUAGCGUCUCAGGUUGUUUCUGGUGUCUAUGCUAAUAAAAUUUUCUAAUUUAUCAAUUUUUUUUUAAAAGAGAUUGUAGAUGAAAAUAACGAAACUUUUUUAAACAUCCUGUAAUUUUAUAUUAACAUAUUGAAUCAGUCAAUAGCAUUUUCGGAUGGUUAACUAGGGUAAAACGGACUGCUACUUUUGAUGCUAGUGCUUACUUAAUGGCAAGGUUUUCUUUAUGACUGUCUCACUAGGUAAAUUGGGUUGUAUCAUAUUCAUAGCUUCAUAUCAACAGAUGCUUAUUUUAUUUCUUGAAAAUUUGUUCAUAUGAAAUAAAGAGAGCAGGAUACUGGGGCAAAUGCUGUUGAGAACAUUUCUAAUGCCAUUAGUUAUGUAUUGUGCUUAGUCCAGCGAGUUGAUACACAAAUAAAUUAUAGAACUUGAAAGAUACAUACUAAAUUUUCUUUUCUUUUCUUUUCUUUUCAUUUAGCACUCUGAGGUCAAAGCACCGGACGGAUGAUUUGUAUUUUAAUUUUAAUUAGGCAAGAUAACCAAGAAUGAAAAAGAAAAUUUACAGGAAAAUUAGGAGCAAUAUCUUAACUAGUAAGUUUUUCUUACAAUUUUUUUUUUCUUAACUAGUAAGGAAUUCUCUUUUGUUUUGUUUUUUACAAAAUUAUCGUUUGGCUUUGUUUUAUGCCCAGAAGCUGCUUGAUUAUUUCAUUAAGUCAUUCAUGUAAUUAUACUCAUGGCCGGCUCAACAACUUUGGGGCGUUAUGCCAAAAUUUUAAGUGGGGCCUUUUUUAUAUUUAAAUAUUAAUCAAAUAAUAUAUAUUGAAUUUUUUUAUUUAAAAUAUAUUUUUCUUGCUUUUUGAGAUGCAAAAUUACUAAUUAAGUGUUUGUAUUUAAGUUCCUCUAACAUUUCUUUUUCAUUUAAUAAUAUAGUUAAUCCACUUAAUCUUUCUUGUGAUGUAGUAGACCUUAAAUAAGAUUUUGUUAAUUUUAAUUUUAAUAUAGCUAAUCCACUUCAUCUUUCUUUUCCAAAUAAAAAUUAAUUUAUUACAUGGUUCCAUAAAUUAGUGUCACUAUAAUACAAAUGAGUUGAUAUGAUACACAUCAAAUUAUUAAUUGGUAUGAUAAUUUAUAAUAAUUGAUAAAGUAUGAAAACGUGUUGUCCUAUGACUGUGGGCGGACGACUGGGUUGUGCAACCUAUGUAGCCUGUGCAGUGCGCAACUAUGCUGCCUAUGCUGCUGUGUAGUGUGCAACCGUGCAGAAAACGUGCUGUCCAGCCUAAAUUUAAUUUCGUUAGCUGAAAUUUGACUAUUUUAGUUUUUUCCCUUUUUAAUCUUUUGCAUUUUAGGAUAUAAUGGGGCAUUUUUAAUGCAUUUUAUUGACCAAUGAAAGUACUUAAAUUUUUUUUAAUUAAAAUAUAUAGAUAAGUAUAUUAUAUAUAUAACUUUUUCUUACAAGUGGGGCCUUCUUUUAUUUGAGGGUCUUAGGCGAUUGCAUCAAUUACAUCACCUAUUGAGCCUACCCUAAUUAUACUAUUAAUUAUUUUUUAACCUGCUAGUGGACAUUUUGAUUAUUAGCUCUGCACAUUCCUUUUAUUUAGAUUUGUAUUGUUGAGGUUUCAAAAAAAUUAUUUGUAAAAGCAAAGUAACGUUGUUUUGUAGAAUUUUGUGCACUUGUUGCGAAGCUCUCAAUUCUUGAUUUUAGUUUAACUUUGCUGUGCGUAUAAUCUUAGCAUUGAUCUAUAUACAUUAGAUACAUAAAUAUAUUUUAUUUUAAUACUAAUUUUGGGAAUGCAUAGGAGAUAUUUGUGAAAUUGUCUAGUACAAACUUUGAAGUGAUGUUAAGCUAUUUUAUAUGCACGUUGUGUAGUCUUGAGGGUAAUUUGUUAGAUUGAGAAAUGCACCAGGCUGCUCUCUAAAUUGGCUAAUUCCCUUCACUUCCCACUCACAAAAAAUAAGGAUCCAAUUCAGGGGAGCGAUGUAAUAGUUUUUGAAUUUCUUUUAUGUGAGGGAUGUAUUAUAAUGUUUUUGCUUGCCUUUUUCAGUAGCAUGUCCUAUGAUGUCCAAAAACACACUCUUUUUGACAUAUGGAACUUCUCCGUGUGCUUAUUUGACAGUAAGCUUUGCGUAGCUUACUGCAUUAAAGUUUAUGGCUAUAAACAAUCUAUGUUGAACAUUGCACUCUAUCUUGUUUGACAGAAUUUUAUGAAGUGUAUUGUAACAGUAACCUUGGCUAAUUAAUUCCUACUCUUUUUAGCUAAGCACCUAUGACUAAAGGUAUGUAUUAGAUAGCUCAUAUUGCUAUUUAAACAAUACAAGUUGGACCUCUCAGGUCCUCUAUAUUAGAUAGCUCAUAUUGCUAUAUUUAAAUAAUACAGGUCCUCUUUAUUUGUUACGAGAACUACAAUGCUAAAGGGUUGCUCUCUUUAGGUGGAUACAUCAUAUAGUUGUCAAUUGGUGAUUCAUAACAUGUAGCUUGACCUCUCUUUCACAAAAGUCAAAAGUGCCAAAAAUGAGUAUUGGGAACCUUAUUACUUUGCAUCAAUAGGAUUUGGGAACGGUGAAAUUAGAUGAUGAGAUGAGAUUGAAGGAGAAAUAGGAGGUGAGAGCUUGAAAAAAUACCGUGUUGAUUUUGUUCUGUACCAAAGGGAAGCUUUUUUAGUAUUCCAUUGAUUUCAGGUUUAUACUUACAUUACAACAUUUUUUUUUAAUUACUAUUAAAAAGAGCAGUGUGCAUGAAAUUGUCGGAUUGUAAGCAAUUUGGCACAAGUUAAGCUUGGAGAAAGAACUUAGUUUCCAUUACAUGCUCAUUUCCUUAUAAUUUAUGGGUGUCAUCCUUUAUUUCUCUUAGAUAGUUAUGAAGAAUCUGAUUUAUAGUUCUAAAUUUUGAUAAGAGAGUUUUAACAAUGAUAUCAUGUAUAUUUUAUGCCAAAGUCUCCAACCCCAGUGAAGAUGGAAUAUUAUAGAUUUAUGGGUUUGUAUCAAUUAUCUUUGUAAUUAAUAGAGAGAUGAUGAACUCCACUAGGGUUUUUUAUUUUUUUAGUAAGCAUUAGUUGGUGCAGCUUUGUAGUACAGUUUUUUUUAAAGAAAUAGAGCAUAUAUUGAUAAGAUUUGAAUAUAAAUUUUAAAAAUUACCUGAAGGUGUUUGAAACUAAUACAUUAAACAAAUAUCAGUUUUUCCUUUGGCAUCAAAGUUCAAACUUCAAAGAAUGGCAAGAGAGAAGUUUCCGUUAAGAUGGUUUCCUUCCCUUUAUGGUGCUGAAAUACCUGUCCUCUCUUAUUUGGUCUGCAGGUUGUAGUGCUAAACUUCGCUCAUCUUACUUGUCUAUGAUUCAUAAUGUUGUUAUCACCUCCUUGAUAUUUUCCCCCUUCAGUUCUGAUUUGAUAAUACCAUUCUAUGAAAUAGAGCAAGGAAAAUCCAUUGGGAGUUCAUGCAUUGAAGUGGUGCUAAAGGACUCGGCUUUGUCAUAUUGCUGACAAGAAGAUAAGCAGCACUUAUGGUCAUAUUGGGUCAGGAGAGAGGACUCGGCUUUGUCAUAUACUAUUAAUUAUUUUUUAACCUGCUAGGGGGGGGAGCAUUCCCUUCUUUAUUUUACAUUACGUAAGCUAAAAGGAUGGUCAUUUACGCCUCUGACUGAAACUGAAAAUCGAAAUUUGAAAUCAACCAUAUUGUUUCAUUCA